Lacerta agilis (Sand lizard) is the source of this 567-nucleotide long non-coding RNA. RefSeq lists it as uncharacterized. The transcript is spliced from 3 exons. The record is from RefSeq and is a predicted model, not a curated record. Lineage: Eukaryota; Metazoa; Chordata; Lepidosauria; Squamata; Lacertidae.
AACCUUUUUUUAUUUAUAUACAAUGAACUGAACUGAAAUACGACUGGAAUUUACUUAACACUUGGGUUAUUUCUUACAUGUUUGGCCUCUAUUGAGACACAGAGUUGACCAGAGUAGCUGCUUUAUUUUCUGAGCUGGCUACUUACAGACUUGCCUCAUUUCCUGCUUGCAUUCUAGUGUUUGCCAACUCUGCUGUUGAUGUUUGUGCUGCUCAUUCAGCAGUGGGAGGAAACCUGGUGGAGUUGCCUGCUGAUGUAUCACUGCUCUUCUGUAUUUUUGAUAUUUCACAUGCGCACAUUAACAGUAGGAGAGAAGUUGGGGAAGGGGUGCUUUGCAGAAGGUCCUAUGUCCAAUCAUUGGCAUCUCCAGCCCAGGAGAUGACUCUUAUGUAGCAACGAAAAUACAAACAUUUACCUGCAAAAGGGACUGGAAAUGGCAGGUAUCGUGUAACAAAUCCCACCAUUCAGACAAAAAGAUCCAUAACUGCUGCCACAAAGUUCUUCAUGAUCUAAAACAAAAAGAAAUAUAAGAUUCUGUGAAGUUUGUUAGAGAAGUCUGAUUUUGAGG